Erythrobacter sp. YT30 is the source of this 74-nucleotide transfer RNA. It matches the Rfam family "tRNA". From Rfam's summary of the family: Transfer RNA (tRNA) molecules are approximately 80 nucleotides in length. NCBI's taxonomy places the organism in Bacteria, Pseudomonadati, Pseudomonadota, Alphaproteobacteria, Sphingomonadales, Erythrobacteraceae. The record is from Rfam.
AGGUCCGUAGCUCAGUUGGUUAGAGCGCACCCCUGAUAAGGGUGAGGUCGGUGGUUCAAAUCCACUCGGACCUA